RNAcentral lists this transfer-messenger RNA (214 nucleotides) under Brucella intermedia LMG 3301. Its description in RNAcentral is "Ochrobactrum intermedium LMG 3301 tmRNA coding piece". It matches the Rfam family "Alphaproteobacteria transfer-messenger RNA", at positions 148 to 355 of the family's 355-position model. Rfam says of the family: Bacterial tmRNA, also known as 10Sa RNA or SsrA, is named for its dual tRNA and mRNA-like properties. Its role is to liberate the mRNA from a stalled ribosome. To accomplish this part of the tmRNA is used as a reading frame that ends in a translation stop signal. Lineage: Bacteria; Pseudomonadati; Pseudomonadota; Alphaproteobacteria; Hyphomicrobiales; Brucellaceae. The record is from RNAcentral.
GGGGGCGAAACAGGAUCGACAAGGGUGUAAAGAUCGCUCUUUUACUCGGCAUGAUACCACCGUUAUCGGGUCAAUUGAGUAGUUGCAAAUGACAACAAAGCUCAGGGUUAUGCUCUCGCUGCCUAAUGGCGGUGCGGGAAACCCACUCUAAAGCCCUUGGGGUUAGCACCUUAAGGCGGGGUUCGGAGGCACCUGGCAACAGAAGCCUCCACUU